ACCGGAGUGGCGGAAUUGGUAGACGCGCACGUUUCAGGGGCGUGUAACCGUAAGGUUGUAAGGGUUCGAGUCCCUUCUUCGGUA
RNAcentral lists this transfer RNA (84 nucleotides) under Flavobacteriales bacterium. RNAcentral's name for it is "tRNA-Leu". It matches the Rfam family "tRNA". From Rfam's summary of the family: Transfer RNA (tRNA) molecules are approximately 80 nucleotides in length. Their secondary structure includes four short double-helical elements and three loops (D, anti-codon, and T loops). Lineage: Bacteria; Pseudomonadati; Bacteroidota; Flavobacteriia; Flavobacteriales. The record is from RNAcentral.